Molecule: long non-coding RNA, 2128 nt
Filed under: Canis lupus familiaris (dog)
Lineage: Eukaryota; Metazoa; Chordata; Mammalia; Carnivora; Canidae
Description: lncRNA (ENSCAFG00000055228.1)
Source: RNAcentral
AAUGGAGAUGGGAAAAAUCCAUGAAAUUCCAACCCCAACCCCGUAGUCCUCACCCACAGGUGGAACACUCCAGCCCACUGGAAUUCCGCUCCUUUCCUUUGCCCCUCCCUGCUCCCUUAUUUGCACUGCCCUCAAAGCCUCCCUUUGCCCACCCCUCCCACCCCCGCCCCAGUCUCAAUGCCCUCACAUCAGUAAGAGAAGACUAAGGAGGACAAGAUAUUCCACCCAUACAUGAGGAAAUCCUGUAAGGUCAAGGAAAUCUAAGUCUGCAUUGCGGCUACAAAGGGUACAUCCAGUAUCAAUGGGUAAAAAUGCCCGAGAAGUAGAUUUUGGAUUGAGGUAGAACCUUCUAGCACAACCAGAGCUGUCAGGUGGAGGCAUGGCUCUUCUGGACACCUGCAGGCACAGAAUGGGGGAUGUGGCUGGCUUCUGAUGGGAGGGUUACUCGAGGAUCUGACGCAGCCUGAGGCCUCUCCCAGCACCAAUACUCUGGUGUUCUAGAAAAUCUUUCCUGAGUGCCUGUUUAGUGCUGGGAGAGAGGACAAUACCCUGCCUUGAGGAGCUUAGGCUUUUUAGCCGAGGAGCCAAGAUGCAUAAAAUAGCACAAAAAUGAUGACGAGCUGACACGGGGUUAACAGCAAUGCGCGUUACCCAGUCCAGUUCGGUGGUUCCAGCCUGCGGACUGUCUCCAGGGCUAAAGGCCGGAGACCCCACAGGUAUAGAAAGUGCUUCCGAGUCAGGAUUUUGGGGAGAGCUAUUGACUAGCAGCCACGGGAAGUUGGAAAUUGUCCCCAGCCUGCUGUACCCUGGAGGCAGCCAGGGUGGCUUGGGAAGGUCGGGAAGGUCGCUCCCAUCUGGGACUGGGGCUCUCGUGCUCUCUGAGGCUGGUUCAGAAGGCUCGGGGGAGAGGGAGUCUGCGCCGAGCCAGGUGGUGCGUGAGCUGGGGUCCGGGGUCCAAUGACAAGGCAUGCCCCACUGCUGGGCCUCAGUUUCCCCAGCUGUGAUGCAAGGCGGUUGGACUAGAUGCUUGCCAAGUCUCCUUCCAGCACCCGAUCCUCUGAUCCUCCCUGACAUCGACGCAUCUUUCCAGCGGUAGGGCCGCCUGCUGAGAGCCGGGAAACUACUCCGGGGGUGACACUGGCCGGAGGCUGAGUGUGGGCUGCAGCCCCUGCCCCCCGCCUCGCUCUGGGCAGGCUCUGGGGGCCCAGGCUAACCCGAGGCGCUGACUGGGGCGGGGAUCGCUGACUUUGGGGGUGCAUCCUGAAGCCCCCUCCCCUCCCCACCUCUCUGGGGGCCCUCGUACCCUGCAGGUGGGUGCAGGAGGGGACGCGGACUCAGGCUCCCGCCAGCUCCAGGCCCCCAGCCGGACAGCUCUCGGGGUGAGAACACAGGAGAGGGGUCUGUGCUUCUGCUCCCCCGAAGCCCCCCUUUCCCUCAUCGGGGAGCCUGGGAAGAAGAAGAAGAAGAGGCAGGCUCAGGCCUCAGCACCUUGUACCCACCACCUCCGGGAGGAGAGACCCCCCCAACCCCGGGAGUGCUCCUACUGCUCAACUCAAGGGACUCAGACCCUUUCUUGACUGAGACGCAUGAGUGCCUUCUGGGGCGAGAGCCACCCCAGGAUUCAAGUUGGGCCUGCCCAGCCCUGGCCACAGCGGGUCGCCAAGGACGCCAACCCAUGAAACCAACGCCACAGGCCACAGGCGGCCUGCCCGGGCAGGGGUGUGGGUGGGGGGCUCCUCCACUAGCCGGGACCCCCCCCACCUGGCGCCCCCUGGGCCCUCUGGCCCUGGCCAAGAACCAUGGCAGGACUCAAGCUCCUCUUCUGCAAAUGUCCCCAGCCUCCCUGCAAGUAUUCUCAACUCUUUACGCCUAAUGAACAAGCACAGUUUUUUCAAUGGUGAAAAAAAAAAAGCACCAGAUCUUUCUUUCUCUCAUUUUUUCUUUUCCUGAAGAAAUCCCUCAAACACUCCCCCCCCCCCCCCACCCGCCUGCUGGCGGGACAAACACUCCCCCCGUGGGGCUGUAGCAACGUCUGUCAGGUCCCCCUGUCGUGUUUCAUCUCCUGCGCGUAGAGCAAAUGCUAGAGCGAUUUCAGCUGAUAGAAAAACAAAAAUGAAAAAAAAAAAAA